GCCUCCGUGGCGUAAUUGGUUAACGCACACGCCUUUUAAGCGUUGAGUUCCGAGUUCGAGUCUCGGCGGGGGCA
RNAcentral lists this transfer RNA (74 nucleotides) under Actinomycetota bacterium. Its description in RNAcentral is "tRNA-Lys". It matches the Rfam family "tRNA". Rfam says of the family: Transfer RNA (tRNA) molecules are approximately 80 nucleotides in length. Their secondary structure includes four short double-helical elements and three loops (D, anti-codon, and T loops). Further hydrogen bonds mediate the characteristic L-shaped molecular structure. tRNAs have two regions of fundamental functional importance: the anti-codon, which is responsible for specific mRNA codon recognition, and the 3' end, to which the tRNAs corresponding amino acid is attached (by aminoacyl-tRNA synthetases). tRNAs cope with the degeneracy of the genetic code in two manners: having more than one tRNA (with a specific anti-codon) for a particular amino acid; and 'wobble' base-pairing, i.e. permitting non-standard base-pairing at the 3rd anti-codon position. The record is from RNAcentral. Lineage: Bacteria; Bacillati; Actinomycetota.